RNAcentral lists this long non-coding RNA (239 nucleotides) under Apteryx owenii (little spotted kiwi). Its description in RNAcentral is "lncRNA (ENSAOWG00000002887.1)". Lineage: Eukaryota; Metazoa; Chordata; Aves; Apterygiformes; Apterygidae. The record is from RNAcentral.
AUGGCUUACCUACGCCGGGGGUGGCUUGAGCAGGCAUUUUUGUUAAUAACAGUACAGAAAAAAACAUUAACAUGCACCAGGAAAGAGAAGAACAGGCGAGAUGAAAGAGUUGCUAAAGAUAAUGCAAAAAGAAUACUGCUCUGCCAUUUUCAGUUGCUCAUUCUCAGUAAAUCCUGGUGGACUGUCAUCUUGUCAAAGAGUUUAAUGAUAGCAUGUUGCCUAAUGGCAGCAAAAUUAGC